Molecule: ribosomal RNA, 116 nt
Filed under: Streptococcus salivarius
Lineage: Bacteria; Bacillati; Bacillota; Bacilli; Lactobacillales; Streptococcaceae
Also listed under: 1 other name
Source: RNAcentral
UUAAGUGACGAUAGCCUAGGAGAUACACCUGUACCCAUGCCGAACACAACAGUUAAGCCCUAGAACGCCGGAAGUAGUUGGGGGUUGCCCCCUGUGAGAUAUGGUAGUCGCUUAGC